Molecule: long non-coding RNA, 1636 nt
Organism: Syngnathus typhle (broad-nosed pipefish)
Lineage: Eukaryota; Metazoa; Chordata; Actinopteri; Syngnathiformes; Syngnathidae
Exons: 3
Source: RefSeq, a predicted model, not a curated record
CUGCACGAUUGUGACGAUAUGAAACUCAGCCCAGAUGAACUUGCACUAAAAUGCCGGUCAGAGAUAGAGAAGUUACAUUCCAUUAUCAGAGAAUAUCUGCGGUUGAAGAAGAGUCCAGGGGGCAAGCAACAUCAAAAACUUGGUUUCAACAAAGAGCUGGGUGAAUUAGUUCAUCAAGUUCUGCACGCAGAUUUUUACACUCUGCAGUGAGGGAAUCCAUUGCUUCCCCAGUGAUAUCCGUCUGUGUGGCAGUAGUCACCAUGCCUUCUUUUCAAAUCUCAGCGUGCACCACAUCUUCACCAGCAGGUUCCUGGGGGUGCUCAUCAGUGAGGAUCUCUCCUGGUCCACCAACCGCAUCACUGGCGAAGAAGGCCCAGCGCCACCUGUACUUCCUGCGGAAACUCAGGCGAGCGAGCGCUCCUCCGGCCGUCAUGACUACAUUUUACCGUGGCACCAUUGAGAGCGUCCUCUCCAGCUGUAUUGCUGUUUGGGGUGGCGGCUGCACUGACUACAACUUGAAGGCCCUGCAGCGCAUAGUGAACACGGAUGGUAAGAUUAUUGGUGCUUCACUCCCCUCCUUGAAAGACAUUUACAUCUCUCAUCUCACCCGCAAGGCGACCACGGUUGUGAGUAAUGUGAGUCACCCCGCUCACUCUUUGUUUGAGCUUCUGCCCUCUGGGAAGAGGUAUAGGAGCCUGCGCUCCCGCACCACCAGAGUCAACAACAGCCGCAUACUCCAGGCUGUUAGGAUCCUGAACUCUCUCCCCCCUUCUGCGUACCGUCCUGUACUUUCUUUUCGAAUCUCAGCGUGCACCACAUCUUCAGUUGAUCAUUUUCACAAGGGACAGACUGGGAAAUAUUGAAAAGUGCUACUGCUGCUGCCAAUGCCCUCUCGUGGUCUCUCUUGCGCUGCUUGAGAUUUUGUCUUCUCUCAAAGAUCUUCAUUGAACAUUUGAGUUUUCGUUUGUGAGGUGACUGGGUAUGCUCAAAUAUACUUGGCACAUAGUCUGGGGAUAGUGGAUCUUCGCUUUUUGCACCUGAAACAAUUAAACGAUCACAUUAUUCAUAAUGACUACCAUAAAUAAUUAAGCACGUUGUUGAAGGGGAUAUACCCAGUUCAAUUUGUUUCGUAAUGGCAUUUCAUAACUUGACAUAUUAAAAAACUGAAUAGAGUGAAAUCAUUCAGAUACUGUACCUGUCUGUUCAAGUUGCUACAAUUUUUAUUUUUCGUUUAUUUUUGCAUAAUGCUUCAUUUGAGUGGCUUGAAAACUUAACCAAUAAAAAUUUUAACCUUGUGCCAAUGGCUUGAAAACUUUACCAAUGUAGAUUUUACCUUGUGCCAAAUGAAGUAACAAAAAGCCUCUUGUUCAAAAAUGCUUCAUUAAAAAAAAACACAAGGUUCAUAAUUUUUUUUGAAAUUUCCUAAUGCAUUCACUCAUUAGAAUUGUUCAAUUCCAAUAUGAAGUUCAAUAUUUACAUUGAUAAAGUUAUCAAGCCAAUCAGAUGAAGCAUCAUGAAAAAAUAAACCAAAAAUAAAAACGGGAAGGUGAACUGAAGAAAUCAUCCCAUUCCCUGCCUUGCUCUUCUUGCUGCCUUUCUAAAAAUGCACCCAGCAUUUUCAACAAUCAUAUUUGUA